Molecule: long non-coding RNA, 320 nt
Organism: Odocoileus virginianus texanus
Lineage: Eukaryota; Metazoa; Chordata; Mammalia; Artiodactyla; Cervidae
Source: RefSeq, a predicted model, not a curated record
ACAUGGAAACUACCCGGUGUUAUCUAUCAGCAUCAUUAUUGCUCUUAGGAGUUAGAACAUAAGAUUUCAAACAGAUGGAGGCAACUGGAAUGCAAAGAAAAAGCUGGAUACAAGAGUUUAGGAUUAAAGGAACUGAGGGAGGCAGAUGCUUAGAACACAGACAGCCAAGGUCAGAACGAAGGCAGGGAACAUGCCCAACCUCCAAUCAAACAUGUCUGGACCUGAUUACUGCUUUGGAAAAAGCAGUGUCUAUCAAACUCCUGGAGUAACCAGCAAGAUGAACGUUCCAUGCUGGCCCUCACAGGUAAGGUACUUGUUUG